RNAcentral lists this ribosomal RNA (524 nucleotides) under uncultured bacterium. RNAcentral describes it as "bacterial SSU rRNA". It matches the Rfam family "Bacterial small subunit ribosomal RNA", at positions 29 to 448 of the family's 1533-position model. The record is from RNAcentral.
AGUGAACGCUGGCGGCGUGCCUAACACAUGCAAGUCGAACGGGCUAGUGCUUCGCACUAGUCUCUUUCUGGGGUUGCUACUCUAAGGCUACCUGCUAAAGUUAUUGCUUUAAAGCAGGGGUUUUUAGGGGACCUUCCCCAAAAGGGGCCAGUGCGGAGCACUGGCCAGUGGCGAACGGGUGAGUAACACGUGGGUAAUCUGCCCUCGAGUGGGGAAUAAGCUCCCGAAAGGGGGUCUAAUACCGCAUGACGUUUCAUAACGAUGGUUAUGAAACCAAAGCCCAAAAGGCGCUUGAGGAGGAGCCUGCGUCCUAUCAGCUUGUUGGCAGGGUAAUGGCCUACCAAGGCUAUGACGGGUAGCUGGUCUGAGAGGACGACCAGCCACACUGGGACGUGAGACACGGCCCAGACUCCUACGGGAGGCAGCAGUGGGGAAUUUUGGACAAUGGGCGAAAGCCGUGAUCCAGCCAUGCCGCGUCGCAGGAAGAAGGCCUUCGGUUGGUUAACGUACGUCGUUAGUCUUAA